This 240-nucleotide unclassified non-coding RNA is filed under the name soil metagenome. RNAcentral's name for it is "partial contains 5.8S ribosomal RNA, internal transcribed spacer 2, and large subunit ribosomal RNA". The record is from RNAcentral.
AACGGUCUAUACCUGCGGUACCUGCGGAAGGAUCAUUAAUGAGAAGCUGCCCCUCGUGGGUAGACCUCCCACCCUCUGUGAACUUACCUUUGUUGCUUUGGCAGGCCCGUCCUCUGGACCGCCGGCUUCGGCCGGCCCGUGCCUGCCAGAGGAUUCCAAACCCUGUCUGUCAGUGUUGUCUGAGUCUAUAUGAAAUCGUUAAAACUUUCAACAACGGAUCUCUAGAUCGGAAGAGCACAC